UACGUAGGGACCAAGCGUUGUUCGGAUUUACUGGGCGUAAAGGGCGCGUAGGCGGCGUGGUAAGUCACUUGUGAAAUCUCUGAGCUUAACUCAGAACGGCCAAGUGAUACUGCUGUGCUAGAGUGCAGAAGGGGCAAUCGGAAUUCUUGGUGUAGCGGUGAAAUGCGUAGAUAUCAAGAGGAACACCGGAGGCGAAGGCGCCUGCCUGGACGACUAUUGACGCUGAGGCGCGAAAGCGUGGGGAGCAAACAGG
RNAcentral lists this ribosomal RNA (253 nucleotides) under uncultured bacterium. RNAcentral's name for it is "partial 16S ribosomal RNA". It matches the Rfam family "Bacterial small subunit ribosomal RNA", at positions 524 to 776 of the family's 1533-position model. The record is from RNAcentral.